Long non-coding RNA from Felis catus (domestic cat), 1619 nucleotides. RefSeq lists it as uncharacterized. The transcript is spliced from 2 exons. NCBI's taxonomy places the organism in Eukaryota, Metazoa, Chordata, Mammalia, Carnivora, Felidae. The record is from RefSeq and is a predicted model, not a curated record.
GUGGAUGUGAAUGGGCUAAGAAUGCAGAUAUACAAAUGAGCAUGGUGGGCCCAGUUAGAAGAGAGGGAACCAGAGUCCUCUCCUGAAAAUCCCUCCAGAAAAGUGCAAAGUACUAUCCACACACCAAGUUUGUUGAGGGGAAGACAGCCACCAGUGAAGCCUGGCAGACAAAGCUUUGUAACUGCCUAUGGUCAGGACUGAAAGAUCACAUACAAUUUUCACCUGAAGCCAGACUCUUCGGCCUGCUGACUGAUCUUGCUUACACUCUUGACCCCUAUAAUUCAUUUUCCCAAAAGCAACCAGGGAGAUUUGUUAAACAUAAUUAUAUUAUAAUCCAAACUCCUUAUUAUAACAUACAGGUUCUAUAUGCUCCUUGCUUUGCUCUCUGACUUCAUCACCCCACUCAAGCCACAGGGGCCUGCAGUCUGUUCCACAGACACACGAAACUCACAUACAUCUAAAUAUCUUUAUACCCUCUGCUCAGAACAUUUUUUUCCACCUCUUUACAUAGUUUUCUUCCUUACUUCAUUCAUCUCUUUGCUGAAUUACCAUCCUGUCAAAGCAGUCUUCUAUGACUACAUGAAAGAGCUUGGCAGUUCCUAACACUGUCUGUCUUUUAUUGCUUUAUUUUCUUCAUUAAAUAUAUAACCUGGUAUAAUAUUAUGUAUUUAUUUGCUAACAUUGUAUUGUCUGUUUCAUGAGAAUAUUGACUUCAGAAGACUGAAAAUUUGCAAUACUUCUUACGGAAUCCUCAUUGCCUGAAACAGAACCUCAUAUAUGGUAUAUGGUUAAUAAAUGUUAGAUGAAUAAAUGAAUAAAAUGAGAAAUAUAGGUUCAUUUCUGUUAUUCUAGUUCUCCGAGUCAGGAAAUUAAUGCAUGAUAAUUUUCCAUCUCAAAAUUUCCCAUAAGCACAAAAGAACAAGUGGAAGGGAACAUAGUGAAAGAAUAUGAUAAAAUGGAAAACACAGAGUGUUUUCAGACAGAUCUCUUCGCUAUUUGUUUACUGUGCUCAUGCCAUCAGCAUACCAUACUGUACAAAUAAGAGUUUUCAGCAAGAAGACUCACCACUAUCCUAGGGCAAUUAUAUUAAUCUUGACACCUUUAGUAUCACCACUUCCCUAGGCUUAGGUAGAGUGUGCAAUCUCAGGAAUAAACUUCCCUCUUAUUCUUUCAAAUGUAUUUGCAGGCCCUGCAGUCAUCAUUACAUUAGGUGGCAUGGCAAGGGUAGACCCAGGUACGUACAACAUUCACUGGAUAGUUCAACCAUCAGGCGGAACAGGGACGGCAGCUGAGGAAGAAAAUCACCUCAUGGCGACCACACACCCUAUUUAAAGGAUCACUUGAAAGUGCUUAACGCUCCCUUCUUGUUGAUGCAACAUUCAAAAAUUAUGGAAAACCAGACUAUAGAGGUCUCUGGUAAUUAUGGAAUCUCCUGACUUUUAAGACUUUGUGAAAAAGUCCCAACAGGGAUCUCAGGGAUGUUGACUCUGAUUCAAUAACAACGACAAAACUUUCCCAAGGUGCCAGCUGUCUGUCAGUAUUCAGACAUGAACUGACUUAGUGAUAUGAAUAAUAUGUACAUUUUUAUCUACUAUAUUAAAUUUAUAAUUUAAUUUUAA